GACGAACGCUGGCGGCGUGCUUAACACAUGCAAGUCGAGCGGUAAGGCCCUUUCGGGGGUACACGAGCGGCGAACGGGUGAGUAACACGUGGGUGACCUGCCUUUAGCUCUGGGAUAAGCCUGGGAAACCGGGUCUAAUACCGGAUAUGACUCCGCGGCGCAUGUUGUGGGGUGGAAAGCCUUGUGCGGCUGGAGAUGGGCCCGCGGCCUAUCAGCUUGUUGGUGGGGUGAUGGCCUACCAAGGCGACGACGGGUAGCCGGCCUGAGAGGGCGACCGGCCACACUGGGACUGAGACACGGCCCAGACUCCUACGGGAGGCAGCAGUGGGGAAUCUUGCGCAAUGGGCGAAAGCCUGACGCAGCGACGCCGCGUGAGGGAUGACGGCCUCGGUUGUAA
This 397-nucleotide ribosomal RNA is filed under the name uncultured bacterium. RNAcentral describes it as "bacterial SSU rRNA". It matches the Rfam family "Bacterial small subunit ribosomal RNA", at positions 28 to 428 of the family's 1533-position model. The record is from RNAcentral.